GCAUACCUCUUCAUUUAUGCGUGUCAUGACUUGUAUCGUCUUGAGCGUAUUGUGGGUUUCCUGUGUUGCAUUCCUUUCUUAUGGUAUCGUGCCUGAUUGAUCGAAGUCCCUUUUCAUCUUUUGUUGCUUUUUGUGACGCAUGAUGAACCUCGAGGCGGUCUCUAUGUUCCACCACGUUGAUGCUAGCGUUUUGUUGUUGUGGCCCAUUGAGCGUUGCUUGGUUUUGUGGAUACAGAACAUGAUUUGGGCAUAGGGUCACUUGUGACUCUUGUUCUGUCCUCUAUCAGUGUUCUUUAUAACGACGGUUCAUGCGCGCCUAGGCUCGUACCUGCGCGAUGUUCUUUGUCGAAGAGGAAUGC
This 359-nucleotide unclassified non-coding RNA is filed under the name Senecio spartioides. Its description in RNAcentral is "partial external transcribed spacer". The record is from RNAcentral. Lineage: Eukaryota; Viridiplantae; Streptophyta; Magnoliopsida; Asterales; Asteraceae.